This 11063-nucleotide long non-coding RNA is filed under the name Ananas comosus (pineapple). Its description in RNAcentral is "long non-coding RNA (ACOM_LNC038527)". The record is from RNAcentral. Lineage: Eukaryota; Viridiplantae; Streptophyta; Magnoliopsida; Poales; Bromeliaceae.
UAGAGAGCUGCUAAAAAAAAACAGAAGAUAAACAAACUGAGUUUCAUAUACAUAGUCCAAAUCCAAAAUACAGAGCUACUCGCACUGGCGAGUUAAGUCUACUAUGUACAGAAACUCGAAACAAAAUAUCUACCUGCAGUAGGGGCACCUCUAGCUCAGCACGACGGGUAGGGCUCUAACUCGUGACGCCCUUGCCUCGAUCCUGAUCCGCGGAAGGCGCAGCAGCCGGAACCUGUGGCUCUGCAAAAUAGAGGUAACAACUGGGCGUGAGAACUACUGUAAAAACAAGUAGUCCUCAGUGGGUACCGCCCAAAACCACAUCGGUCCACCCACUAAGUCUACAGAAGGGAGCAAGAGUAGUCAGAAAAGCAGGAAGUAAACUCUACCGCUAUCGAUCACUACACUAUCAUGCUCUACACUAACCAACUGUAGUAAAUGUCAAAUCUGACCCAAUCUCAAUCGGACUGUAGAGCAUACCCCCCGACUAUGAAUAUCACCGUCCCUGCCCCGUUGCGACUAUCAGGCUCUAAUCACACUAACGUGGUCCGUGGAGAAGCAGUCCAACUGGCAUCGAGCGAUCACCAACGCGAAAAGCACAAAGCCUGACUCAGGGACUCGUGGCGCCUACCCAACUGAGUAUGCCCCCAAUAUUCCUGUCGGAGCUCAAAUCAGGCUUCUGAAAUAGCCAAAGUCAAGUAACGGCGACUCAAAACGUCUAUACACCACGAUGGUAAAUGUGCCCUCGGCACAUCUGACGCCAAAAAUGGCGAUGACGGGUCCCCCCCCACCGCAACUCUGACGCACCACCACAGCGGGAAACAACUCUGAACGAUUCUGUAAAAAUACUACUCAGGCCGAAUCAGCACCAGUGUAUGUAAUCUAAACUAACGGCUGGAGUACUCGUGCUGCGAAGGAACUGGACAGUGAACAUUUAAUAACGGCUCCUAGGGCUAAAUAGGCAGUUUAAACAAGUGACAGGUCCAAAUCGCAGGUUUUCUGCCUAAUUCAAUUUCAAGUCACAUGUAUAACUACUUAAUUUAUUAACCACAUGCUCCAAAUUCAGAUUUGCAUCUACAAUAUAAUCAUGAAUUAGCUAGAAUAGAGUACCAAAGGUCGAAAAUUAGACAUCGACGAAUAUGAACUUUAGGCAGUAAUAAUAACCGAUGUAACCCACCUGCCGACAGGGGCGACCCAACAUCCGGCCGCGACGUCGAAACCGACGAAAAAUCACCGCUCCCCGGCCUCAACGGCCUACCACGACGCACGCAUCGCUCACGGCUGUCCAGUGCGCGAAGUUUGACGGUCGUCCAAUCUCAACUAUAGCUCCCACGAGCUCUCCACUUCCAACAAGAGAGAGGAAAUUACAAAUCACCACUAUCCCCUUAGCCACAAGAUAAGAGAUGCAUGGGGGUGCACGUUGGCAUCCAGAGCCACCCCCAUGCAUCACACCGACUAAAAAAUUUUAAAAAGAAAUAUAAUAAAUAAAUAACAAGGACUACAUUGUAAACUACAUACAACCAAACGCCCCUAAUUUAAAUAGGUUUACAAUUAUUCUAUGUCAUUUCAUAAUUAUUUUUCUUUCUUCUUUUGAGUUAUUAAUAGAGUUACUACUAAUUUAUUAGGUUUACAAUUAUUUAUGGUGCAUUUCAAUUGUUUUUUUUUUGUAAGGUCAUUAUAUGAAAUGCCACUCAUUUUAAUUAGGUUUAAAAUUAGUUAUGUGUAAGUUUUCAUGAUAUGUGGUUUUUUUUUGUUUUUGUUCUCCAUUUUUUUUUUUUUUUUUUUUUUUUUUUUCUUGACUCAACUAUAUAAUUAUUUCUAAAGUUUGGAAAAGUUAAAAAAAUAUAUAAACUAUAUAAAUUUUCAAUGACUCUAAUUUUCGUAACAAUUUUCGGAUUCGUUGUAACUAAAUGACUCAAUUGCCUCUCUUCCUUUUGUAUGCUUGGAUUAUAUCUAAGGAUAUUUGAGUCAUUCAACUUUCAAGUAUUUAACCGGUUAAUUAAUAUUAACUAAAAAAUAGCAUAUAAUUUAUUUUUAAUGUCACGCCCCGGAUUACCACGUUUCUCCGGGCACGUCAACAGACCUGUAUACAUAGAAAUUUUUCGUGUAUACGAAGCGACAGCUGUACCUAAAAUCAAAUCAUAGCUACAACCAAAAGGUAAGAGCUGCUAAACUGAAACAUGUAUAUAUAAAACAUAAAGUUCAUAGUACAUACAAAAGCUCCGAACCAACACUAACACCUCGUUCCAGCGAGUAAGUCAAACAUAGAGUAUGUACAUGAACAAAACCCACUACCCCUGACGGGUACUCCGCUAGCACAGCAACCAAGGGUAGCAAGAAUCUAGCUCACGACUCCCUUCCCGCGGUCGGAAUCAGCAACAACAGUAGCCGCAGACGAAGGCUCUGCAAAAAGGUGUCAACAAUUGGGUGUGAGAACUACUGUAAAAUAGAGUAGUCCUCAGUGGAUUCUGCCACCGACCUCAACGGCUCACCCACUAAAUCUACAAAAAUAUAUGCAAGGAAUAGUAAGGAAUGCUAAAUUUUUUUUUUUUUUUUUGAGAGAGAGAUAGAUAGCACGCUACCCCCUUCACUUAUUUCAUUUAGAAAUAAACUUAGUUAGAAAUAUGAAUCAACUGGAAUUCGAACUUGGGACCUCGGGUACCAACCACGAAGCCUUUUGCCACUUAUUUUAGGGACGGUCGGUUAUGUAAAAGUUAAGAAAGAAAAACUGUAUAAAAAUAGAUAUUUAUAGAAUUUUUUUAUAUAUAUUUUAGCGUUUCUUAUUGUUUUUUUUUGGAGUGGUGAUAGUGGUGAAGUGGAUGGGAGCUUAUGUAACUCCUUUUUUUUUUGUGUGUGUGUGUGUGUGGUUGUGGCAGGUGUGUGGCCUGAAUCUGAGAGCUUUAAGGAUGAGGGGUUGGGCCCAAUCCCUUCAAAGUGGAAGGGAAUCUGCCAGAAUGACUUUGAUAAGAGCUUCUCUUGCAAUAGGUGUGUAUGUGUUCCCCUCUCUCUCUACCAUCUCUCUCUCUCAAUUAUCUCUCUACCAUCUCUCUCUAGGCAUAUUGCAUUAUAUAGUCCUUUUCUUUUUUCUUUUUUUUUUUUUGAGAGAGAUAGAUAGCACGCUACCCGCUUUGUUUAUCUCAUUUAGAAAUAAACUUAGCUAGAAAUGUGAAUCAACUAAGAUUUGAACUUGGGUCUCGAGUACCAACCAUCAAGCUCUUUGCCACUUGCUCUAGGGACGGUCGGUAUAUAGUCCUUAUCACAUGGAAAAUUCUUUGGGCCCCCUCUUAUGGUUGGGUAUACCUAAUGUUUGGUCAGUGUUGUACAAGUAAAUCUGUGUCUUUAUAAUUUGAUCAUCUCUCUGUUAUUAGGCAGAUAUUUUAGUAUAUAUGUAGUUUUUUUGAUAUGGAGAGUUCUUUCGACCUUUCUUAUUCAAAUUGGUCUCUAUUGUAUAAAUGAAUCUGUGCGUCCUGAUCUCUCUCUCGCUAUCUCUAUCUCUUUUUUUGUGCAUGUAUUAGUAUGCAGUCGUUUUCAGAUGAAAGAUUCUUUAGAUCUCUCUUAUUGAUAUCCCGUAAUAUCUUGUUUGUACUGUAUAAAUAAAUCCGUGGAUUCUGAUUUCUCUCUCUCUCUUUGUGCAUGCAUUAGUAUGCAAUUCUUUUCAUAUGAAAAAUUCUUUAGAUCUCUCUUAUUGAUAUUCCCUAAUAUUUUGUAUGUACUGUAUAAAUAAAUCCGUGCAUUCUGAUCUCUCUCUCUCUCUCUCUAUCUCUCUCUCUUUUUGUGCAUUUAUUAGUAUGUUGUGGUUACUAUACGUAGGGACGUCAAUGGGUAUGGCUACCCGAAAUUUUAUCCGAAUCGAACCCAAACGGAGUGCAUUUAUCCGAUGUUAAAUGGAUAUAGUUUUGGAUAUGGAUAUCAAAAAUAAAAAUUCGACGGAUAUGAAUUUGACUGUACCCGACCCGAACCCAAACCCGACCCUAACUCAAUCCGAACCCAAAUUUAUUUAAAUAUAACAUGUAAAUCAAAAUUUGAUGUUAUAUUUGAAUUUGUAUUUUAAAAAUUUAGAUUUGAUGCAAUAUAUUUAGAAAUAUUGAAAAGAAAAUUAAUUGUUUCGGGUUUGGAUUUUUGGGUUUGGUUUCUGGUUUUGAAUUUUUGGUCGGGUCGGGUUAGGGUUUGGAUAUGGAUUUAUAAAAUUCGUCGGUUUUGGUUUUGGGGUUGGAGUCGGGUUCUAGUUUGGGUUCGGGUUCGAGUUCGGAUUUUUGAAAAUCUAUUCUGAAUCCGCCAUGUUGACAUCCCUAACCAUAUGGUAUGUAUGAAAAAUUCUUUAAAAAAUUAUCAUGAAAUGCACAUAUUAGUACAUUUUAAUUUGUUACCUAGGUACUAUGUACUUCUUUUUGCAGUAAGUAUUAUUUUGCUUAAUACAUUAUAGUUAAAGAGAGUUGGAGAUUAAACAAAAAACCUUGAACAACAUCCCAAACUCAUUAAAUGUAGAUGUUAAUUCAUUUAUAGGUGAUUAUUAAUUUUCAUCUUAUUUUUCUAUUUUACUUUAUUUUAUUAUACUUAAUUUGCAUUGAAAACUUAACAUUUUUAUUAAAAGAUGAUGCACCUGCACCAUGUCCAUCAUUAGUUGCUUACUUUUUAAUUAUCUUGUGUUAAUUUAUAGAAGAACAAAAUAUAAUAAUACUAUAAAAUAAUUUUCACUGUGUUUGCAUUUUUUUUUUUUUAUUUUGCAAUAAUUACUUCUAAACUAUUCACAUAUUUUAUUCUCCUAAAAGGUCAGAGGAUGUAUCAUCUUCUCCAUUUUUUUUUUUUUUUAGGCACAAAGUAGGAGUAGCGAUGUAAAUGGAUCUAGGUUGGUGGAGCUUCUGCCCUAUACCCCGAUCCACUCAGAAUAGGAUGGUAAAUAGAAGCAAAAAAUAUAAAAAAUGAUAACCCGUUCGGAAUCUUUCCCAAUUCGCCAAAAAAUAGCGCGGGAGAUGGGAGAUUCUUUUUUUUUUUAAUUACUCAUCCAGAUCUGUCAAAAUCAGCUAAGAAUUUGCUCCCACUUCCAUUGAAGUGGUAAGCGGAGACAAAAUGAGAUAAAAAUUUUACCAGCCCCAUCCCGAAAAUCGACUCCAUUUGCAAUUCUAAGUAGGAGAUAGAAUCCCAACAUGUUGAUCUACUGUCACGCCCCGGAUUAUUCGUUUCCCUGGGCACGCCAAUAGAAUCGCCGUAUAUAUAAAAAAAUUUUCUGUAUACGAAGCGAUAGCUGUACCUGUACCUGUAAUCAUACAACACUACAACCAGUAAUGUAGAGCUGCUAAAAAGAACAAUAUAUAAAUAAAACUGGUUCACUAUACAUACAUAGCAUCUUGGUACAAAAACACUCGCUCCAGCGAGAAUCUAACAUCAGUAUGUAUAAGAACCAAAAACUACAACUACCUAUAGCUGGUAUAUUUCUAAAUCAGCAGCAAAACGGGAAGGGAUCUAGCUCGCGACUCCCUUUCCAUGAUCGAUAUCCGCGAUAGCAGCAGCCGAUGAAGAAGACUCUGCAAAAAGAGGGGUAACAACUGGGCGUGAGAACUACUGCAAAAGAAGUAGUCUUCAGUAGGUACCGCCCUCAAUCUCAUCGGCUCACCCACCAAGUCUACAGAAAGUAUGCACAAAUGAUAGUAAGGGAACUGAAAACAAUCUACAGCUGUAUACUACUAUACUAUCAUAAUACAACACUAACUAUCUGUAGUAUAAUGCAAUCUCAGACCCAAUCUCACUAGGGACUGUGAACACAUCCGCCCAUGGGACUGUGAAUACACCCGUCCCGCCUGUCAAAGUUAUACUGCUACCCCACGCUAAGCCGUCCGUGGAGAGCAAGUCCAACCAGGACACAAUGACACCAACGCAAACGCACAAAGCCCGAUUCCGGAGUGGCACUCGUGGGCAUUACCUAACCGAGUAUGCUAGCGUGUCUCUGUCGAGCUCAAUCAAUCUCUCACAGGCUAUAGUCAAGUAAACAAGGUCUAAAAAUCCAACUCACGUGCCCUCGGCACAAUCUGAUGCAAAAACAGUAAUCUGGGUCCACCGUCAACCCCGACAGCAUCCGAUAGUCCGGAACAACCUAAAACACUACUGUAAAAAUAAGCUCGGUAUCUCAGCACGAGCAUAAAAAUAUUCUACACUAUCUUAGGUAUCCACCGUCCACAAACUGCAGCAAUACAAACAAAUUACAGCUCCUACAGCUAAAUCUGGUAGUUUUAACAUAUGACAAUGUAGAAUCGCUGGUUUUCUCCUUAGUCACUUCCAAGUCCAACAUGUAUAAUUUAUCUAACUCACAACAGCAUGCUCUAAAUUCAGAUUUUGUUUAACAUGCUAAUCGAUGAAUUCGAGCUAAAAAUGUGAUAUACAUAGGCUGAAAAUAUACAUGUUGAUUAUGCAUACACUUAGGAGGAGAAUCCGAUGAUUAACCUACCUCUAGCGCUAAUCCACGACUGCGAGGAGGUCACGAAGUUGCUGGAGGCCUCAGCAGAAAUCACCCACAACCAGGAACUCUGCUACUCAAAGGAUCUAAAUGUUAAAACACCAAAAAUUUUCGUACUACAUACAAUUUCAGCAUUUAAGCUUAAAUUCACCUUAAUCACAAAGUUAAUUUCACCUUCCAAUUUUCAAAUUAGGUGAGAAAAGGUCCCAAAUCCUAUGAACUGUGAUGGAGUAUCACCCUCUGGUCCGAAACCGAGCUUCCUCGAAAGAUUGCACCAAGAAACCCACAAUUCACAGAUUCAGUCCAAAAACACCAGCAGCACAGUAAAAAGCCAAAUUAACCAAGCUAACCUCAACCAAAUUCUGUCAAAAUGGGCUCCACGAAUUUCUCUUGAAGUCCAGAAUCCACCAAACCAAGUUUCGUGGCAAACGGAGCUUCCUACGUCGCACACGAGCCAAAACACCGAAGAUCGCUGCUGGAAAACUGCUAGAACAGCAAUCCUCAAGGUGGAAAGUGGGCCAAUUGAAAAAAUUUGAGGGAAUUUGAGAGUUACGAGACAAUUUCAAGCUUUCCUGUGAAAGAAAGGUGAAAAAGCUUCUCAGAGGUCAACUACAAGCUAUUUAUAGGGAGGAGAAAGGGUGAAAUAGGCCCAAGGAACAAGAACUGUUAACCUGCUGCCCUACAGAAACAACAAGUUUCGAGCGCCCGGAAUCAUGUUCUGGGCGUCCGAAACAUCCAAGCUGCACAAAUCCUUCUCUUCGGUUCCUCCGCCCGCAGUGUGCUGUGCCCCUAACGUGGUCCGGCGGAUCCCACCUACCACCAACACGUGUCAAAGAGAAUGAUAUUUCCAAAGUAAACUUUCGGAUCCAUAUCUGGGCGGCCGAAACCAGGAUUCGAAUUGCCUUCCAGUUCUGCUCAGACCAACACUCAAGUUCUGGGCGACCCAAACCCAGUUUUGGGCGGCCGAAUCUGGCAAAACUCCAGUUUUGCCUAUUUGAGUGCGCCAAGUCCAUUUCUGCAUCUAUUUCGUGCAGAAAUGACUCCGACUCAAUCCGACACUCUCCAGAUGUGUCGACCAGUCACUAAUACUGUAGCCAAUCCUAUCCAAACCUCCGAAACAUUACAUCCUCCCCCACUACAAAAGUUUCGUCCUCGAAACUUAAUACAUACCUCAAUCCUGAGUCUCAAACAACAAGGGGUAGGACUCCCGCAUCACUGCCUCCGGCUCCCAAGUCGCCUGCCGCUCCUCAUGAUUACUCCACUGCACCUUUACAUAAGUGAAAACCCGAUUGCGUAAUUCUUUCGUUUCACGAGCCAGAAUUCGUACUGGUCGCUCCUCAAAUCUCAAGUCCUCGCCAAGCUCUAGCGGAGUGAAGUCAAUCAUGUGGGAGGGGUCGAACACAUAUCUCCUCAAAAUCGAGACAUGAAAAACAUCAUGGAUGCCGGCCAGUCGUGGGGGUAGAGCAAUCCUAUAAGCAACUGGCCCAACUCGCUCCAAUAUCUCAAAAAGGCCUACAACGCGUGGACUGAGCUUUCCACGCACUCCAAAUUUGUGUAUCCCUCUAGACGGCGAGACUUUCAAAAACACAUGAUCUCCAACCUGAAACUCUAAGUCUCGUCUCCUGGUAUCGGCGUAGCUCCUCUGGCGGCUCUGAGCUGUCAAAAGGUGUCGUCGUACAGCUCUAACCUUUUCCUCAGCCUUUAGCAAAAUCUCAGGCCCUAGCGUCUUUCUUUCACCCACAUCACUCCAAAACAAAGGGGAUCGACAUCUGCGUCCAUACAAUGCCUCAAACAGAGCCAUCUGAAUGCUUGUUUGAUAGCAUGUCCUCCAUAGUCUGUAUGGUCCGCUUUGACUGACCAUCUGUCUGUGGCUGAAACGCCAUGUUGAAGUGCAACUGGGUACCCAAGGCUGUCUGAAGACUCCUCCAAAAGUGCGAAACGAACCUCGGGUCUCGAUUCGAUACAAUCGAAGUAGGCACGCCAUGCAACCUCACAAUCUCAUCCAGAUACAACUGAGCGAGUCUCUCUCUGGACUAAGUGGUCUGUACUGGUAGGAAGUGAGCAGACUUAGUCAGUCUGUCCACUAUCACCCAAAUAGCAUCGAAACCACUUUGUGCUCUAGGUAAUCCCACGACAAAGUCCAUCGUGAUCUACUCCUAUUUCCACUCGGGCACUGGCUGACUUUGAAGCUUGCCAGCAGAUACCUGAUGCUCUGCCUUUACCUGUUGACAAGUCAGACACUGAGCCACAAAUCUGUUAAUGUCCCUCUUCAUUCCAUUCCACCAAAAGUGUGCCUUCAAAUCCUUAUACAUCUUGGUUCUACUAGGGUGAACCAUAUAAGGUGAAUAAUGAGCCUCUCUCAAAAUCUCCUCUCGGAUCUCUGAAUCCAUAAGCACACACAAUCGGUCCCUGUACCGCAGUACUCCCGAACUGUCCACAACAAAACCCUCUGACUGUCCCCUCUCUAAUUGCUCUCGAAUCCUCAGCAAGUACGAGUCUCCACUCUAUUUCUCCCGGAUCCUAUCCAACAGAAUGGGCUGCAAGACCAUAGACAUCAGUCUCACAGUAGACCUAAAGGACAUAAUCUCGAGCCUCAACCGCUGCAGCUCCUCAAGUAACGGCUUCUACUGAGUAAUCAUCAUGCUCAAGCUCUACACUGACUUCCUGCUCAAUGCAUCUGCCACCAUAUUCGUCUUGCCGGGAUGAUACUUAAUACUAAUAUCUUAGUCCUUCAAUAACUCCAACCACCGGUGUUGCCUCAGGGUCAACUCUUUUUGGGUGAACAGAUACUUGAGACUUUUAUGAUUAGUGAAAAUCUUACAGUGCUCGCCAUACAGAUAAUGCUGCCACAACUUCAAAGCAAAAACCACUGCGGCAAGCUCCAAGUCAUGCGUAGGGUAAUUCUUCUCGUAAUCCUUCAAUUGCGGUGAAGCAUAAGCAAUUACCCUACCAUGCUGCAUCAGUACACAACCCAAACCACUGUGUGAUGCAUCACUAUAAAUCACAAAUCCUUCCCCCAUAACUAGGAGGGCAAGGAUAGGAGCCGACAUCAACCUCUGUCUCAGCUCAUUAAAGCUUCUCUGACAAUCCUCACUCCAGAUGAACUUAAAUCUCUUUCGAGUCAAUCGAGUGAGGGUGUGGAAAGUUUCGCAAAGCCUUCCACAAACCGACGGUAAUAUCCAGCAAGUCCAAGGAAACUCCUCACCUCUGUCACCGUCGUCGGUCUGGGCCAAUCCCGAAUAGCAUCAAUCUUCUUUGGGUCUACUGCUACUCCAACUACAGAAAUAACAUGGCCCAAGAAAGAAACCUCCCGUAACCAAAACUCGCACUUCUUCAACUUAACAUACAACUUCUUCUCUCUCAAAAGCUGUAGCACAAUCCUCAAGUGCUCCUCAUGCUCGGCGUCACUCCGGAAGUAUACCAAGAUAUCAUCGAUGAAUACAACCACAAAUCUAUCCAAGAACGACUUGAACACUCAGUUCAUCAAAUCCAUAAAUACGACAGGGGCAUUCGUCAAUCCAAAAGGCAUCACAGUAAACACAUAAUGCCCGUAUCGAGUCCGAAAAGCCGUCUUGGGAACAUCCUCGGCCCUCACCCUCAGCUGGUGGUAACCUAACUGUAAAUCAAUCUUCAAGAAGACACAAGAUGCUUGUAGCUGAUCAAACAGAUCAUCAAUGUGUGGCAAAGGAUACUUAUUCUUGAUGGUCACUUUAUUCAGCUCCCGAUAAUCCACACACAAUCUAGGUGAACCAUCCUUCUUCUUCACAAAUAACAUUAGCGCUCUCCAAGGUGAUACACUGGGUCUCACAUACCCAUUAUCCAUCAGAUCCUGAAGCUGCACCUUUAGCUCUCUCAGCUCGGCCGGUGCCAUCCGGUAGGGUGUCUUCGAGAUUGGUGCAGUUCCAGGAACUACAUCAAUCACAAACUCGAUCUCCCUCUCCGGCAGCAUCGUCGUCAACUCCGGGAGAAACACAUUCGAAAACUUGCGGACUAUAGGGAUAUCCUCGAGUCUCGGCGUCGCCGUAGGCACCUCCACAACCGUCGUCAGAAAAGCAACACAUCCUCUACUCAUCAGCUGUCGAGCCCUCGCCGAAGAAAUCCAAGUGGCAAACAACGUACUCCUGCAGCCUCUGAAAGUGAACACCUCCUGGUCUGGCUCGCGGAACGUCACAGUUCUCGCUCCACAAUCAAUAGUAGCAUAGUACCGCGCCAGCCAAUACAUGCCGAACACAACGUCAAAGUCCUACAGCUGCCCUAAAACCAACAGGUCUGCGGGCAUGAUCCAAGAAUCUAACUGCACCGGACACGACCAACAACACUCUGCAACCUGUAAAACAUGGUCGGGAAUUUGCACCUCUCAUGCCUGUGACAAUGACCCUAACUUUAGACCAUGCAACAAUACAAAUGCUCGGCUAACAAAAGAAUGUGAUGCACCGAUAUCAAAAAGUGUACGAGCUCGAAUAUCAGAAAUCAAAAUGAUACCUGCCACCACUCGGUCGGCUGCUGUAGAAUCCUCCACCUUAGCUGCGUAUACCCUGCCACUCGGAGCCUGCUGUCGUCGCUCACCCUGACGCGGCAUGGACAUCCUGUCCUCCCGGCAGUAACUCGGUGCUGCCCC